GACUCUCGGCAAUGGAUAUCUCGGCUCUCGCAUCGAUGAAGAACGUAGCAAAAUGCGAUACCUGGUGUGAAUUGCAGAAUCCCGCGAACCAUCGAGUUUUUGAACGCAAGUUGCGCCCGAGGCCUUCCGGCCGAGGGCACGUCUGCCUGGGCGUCA
RNAcentral lists this ribosomal RNA (156 nucleotides) under Sorghum bicolor (sorghum). Its description in RNAcentral is "rRNA 5_8S_rRNA". It matches the Rfam family "5.8S ribosomal RNA". Rfam says of the family: 5.8S ribosomal RNA (5.8S rRNA) is a component of the large subunit of the eukaryotic ribosome. It is transcribed by RNA polymerase I as part of the 45S precursor that also contains 18S and 28S rRNA. The record is from RNAcentral. Lineage: Eukaryota; Viridiplantae; Streptophyta; Magnoliopsida; Poales; Poaceae.